Molecule: ribosomal RNA, 440 nt
Filed under: uncultured bacterium
Lineage: Bacteria
Description: bacterial SSU rRNA
Rfam family: Bacterial small subunit ribosomal RNA
Source: RNAcentral
CCUACGGGGGGCUGCAGUGGGGAAUAUUGCACAAUGGGGGAAACCCUGAUGCAGCAACGCCGCGUGAUCGAUGAAGGCCUUCGGGUCGUAAAGCUCUGUCCUAAGGGAAGAAUACUGACGGUACCUUAGGAGGAAGCCCCGGCUAACUACGUGCCAGCAGCCGCGGUAAUACGUAGGGGGCUAGCGUUAUCCGGAAUUAAUGUGCGUAAAGGGUUCGUAGGGGGGACUUCAAGUCAGAGGUGAAAGGCUACGGCUGAACCGUAGUAAGACUUUGAAACUGUGGGGCUUGAGUGCAGGAGAGGAGAGUGGAAUUACAAGUGUAGAGGUGAAAUGCGUAGAUAUUGGGAGGAACACCAGUUGCGAAGGCGGAUCUAUGGACUGUAACUGACGCUGAGGCACGAAAGCGGGGGGAGCGAACAGGAUUAGAGACCCCGGUAGUC